GUGGAUGUGGUGUGUGGUGCACAGUUGCUCUCAAUACCGGAUAAUCCACCCAGAGAUAUUGAAGCAGUUGAACGGGGUUCGAUUCCCCGCAUCCGCC
This is a non-coding RNA of Mycena alexandri, 97 nucleotides long. NCBI's taxonomy places the organism in Eukaryota, Fungi, Basidiomycota, Agaricomycetes, Agaricales, Mycenaceae. The record is from the annotation of a GenBank genome assembly.